This 931-nucleotide ribosomal RNA is filed under the name Bunodosoma cavernatum. RNAcentral describes it as "eukaryotic LSU rRNA". It matches the Rfam family "Eukaryotic large subunit ribosomal RNA", at positions 75 to 814 of the family's 3401-position model. Lineage: Eukaryota; Metazoa; Cnidaria; Anthozoa; Actiniaria; Actiniidae. The record is from RNAcentral.
UUCCCCUAGUAAUGGCGAAUGAAGCGGGAACAGCUCAAAUUUGAAAUCUCCGUCGCCUGCGACGGCGAAUUGUAGUUUCGAGAAGCACUUUCUAGGCGAUCCGGUGCCGUCCAAGUUGCUUGGAACAGCACGUCAUAGAGGGUGACAACCCCGUCUGUGGCGGAACCGGCCGCUGACGAUGUGCUUUCGACGAGUCGGGUUGUUUGGGAAUGCAGCCCAAAAUGGGUGGUAAACUCCAUCUAAAGCUAAAUACUGGCACGAGACCGAUAGCGAACAAGUACCGUGAGGGAAAGAUGAAAAGCACUUUGAAAAGAGAGUUAAAAAGUACGUGAAACCGUUAAAAGGGAAACGAAUGAGGUUAGCAAUGCGUUCCGCGAGAUUCAGCCGGUGGUUGGGCUGGGCGGGCGGUUUGCGGAUCUGAAUGGACCGCUGCCGUUCGGGUCGGUCCCUCGACCGUCGCACUUCUCACGAACGCGCGUCAGUGUCGGUAGGAACUGGGUCUCAAAGGCGCCGGGAAGGUAGGUCAGUCCCUUCGGGGUCAGACUGUUAUAGACCGGCGUUUUCAUGGCUCGGAUCCCACCGAGGUGCCGCGGCACGUGCCUCUUCUGGCUGGGGUCCCGUCGUUCCGGUCGGUAGUCGACUGUGGUGGACUGCGUGCAGUGCAUCGCGACUGCUGCCGGUCGCUUCGGCGGUGACCUCACACCACGUGCCCAGGACGCUGGCGGUGACAUGGCCCCAUCCGACCCGUCUUGAAACACGGACCAAGGAGUCUAACAUGUGCGCGAGUCUUUGAGCGAUCGAAACUCGCAGGCGGAAUGAAAGUGAAGGCGGCUUCGGCCGCUGAGGUGAGAACCCCUCCUCGCGGGGGGCGCAUCAUCGACCGACCUAUUCUACUCUUAGGAAGGUUUGAGUAAGAGCGCAUCUGUUGGAC